UGGGGAAUUUUGGACAAUGGGCGAAAGCCUGAUCCAGCAAUGCCGCGUGUGUGAAGAAGGCCUUCGGGUUGUAAAGCACUUUUGUCCGAAAAGAAAUCCUUGGCUCUAAUACAGUCGGGGGAUGACGGUACCGGAAGAAUAAGCACCGGCUAACUACGUGCCAGCAGCCGCGGUAAUACGUAGGGUGCAAGCGUUAAUCGGAAUUACUGGGCGUAAAGCGUGCGCAGGCGGUUUGCUAAGACCGAUGUGAAAUCCCCGGGCUCAACCUGGGAACUGCAUUGGUGACUGGCAGGCUAGAGUAUGGCAGAGGGGGGUAGAAUUCCACGUGUAGCAGUGAAAUGCGUAGAGAUGUGGAGGAAUACCGAUGGCGAAGGCAGCCCCCUGGGCAAUACUGACGCUCAUGCACGAAAGCGUGGGGAGCAAACAGGAUUAGAUACCCUGGUAGUCCACGCCCUAAACGAUGUCAACUAGUUGUUGGGGAUUCAUUUCCUUAGUAACGUAGCUAACGCGUGAAGUUGACCGCCUGGGGAGUACGGUCGCAAGAUUAAAACUCAAAUGAAUUGACGGGGUCAUAGCUG
RNAcentral lists this ribosomal RNA (578 nucleotides) under uncultured bacterium. Its description in RNAcentral is "partial 16S ribosomal RNA". It matches the Rfam family "Bacterial small subunit ribosomal RNA", at positions 355 to 932 of the family's 1533-position model. The record is from RNAcentral.